Long non-coding RNA from Fundulus heteroclitus (mummichog), 2007 nucleotides. RefSeq lists it as uncharacterized. The record is from RefSeq and is a predicted model, not a curated record. The transcript has 3 exons. Lineage: Eukaryota; Metazoa; Chordata; Actinopteri; Cyprinodontiformes; Fundulidae.
CAAUAGCUCUCGCGAAUUUCAAUAAUGAAGUCCUCUGGAAAUCCAAAAUAAUUGUUUCUGUUUGCAGCUGUGUACAACGGCUCCUAUUGAGUUUGCUUGUAAAACGCGGAGAACUACCGUCGGCUCUCCGCGAUUCUACGUCAGAGGAUGUGAUGUCAGGUGGCCAUUAUUGCCUAUAUUUGGGCAAUAAUGGCCACCCCCAUACACAGUGAUCCAGACAACAAUUUAUGCUUUUCUUUUCUUAUUGAUUAAUGCUAAAUUCAUUAACCACAUUAUUAACCACAAACGUAUUAGUUUUAGGUAUAGCUAAUGAUCCCCUGAUUUUUCCUUGUUGACCAGACUUCCCCUUUAACCGUGCCGGGACCGGUCCGAGCUCGGUAACUGAGAUAACUAUCGAGUGUAAAUGGAAAGCAAACUGAACUUAACCGAGCCAGACACAACCGGACCGCGCUAAACCUAUACCAGUUCCAUGUGUGAGCUCGGCCUGGUUUUUUAGCGGCCCAGUUCUCUUAUAACAAAGAGCGCAUGAGCAGACCACGUCAUCUCCUUAAAGUCAGCUGACUUUCUGCGUUUUUUCCGGCUUGUCUGGCUUCACAUCCUGAUUCACACUCCAUUCCAGUAAUUGGCGAUAACGCCCCUCCGAAAGUUGCUUGCCAAGCACCAUAAAACAAAAGAAGAAGAACUGUAAACAACAAUCGAAAUCUUCUCCACGCUACAUUUUAAAGAAUGGCUUGAAAAGACCGUGGUGCAAUCUGGGAUGACGCCGAGACUGAGGUUGUUAUUACAAUUUGGGCACAGGACGCUAUCCAGGCGAUGUUGGAAGGUGCUAAACACUAUCACAAAGUUUUCCAAAAAAUUUCGGACGAAAUGAAGGUGAGGGGAUACGACCGAGACCCGAAACAGUGCCGAGAGAAGAUUAAAAAACUUAGGACACAAUACAAGAAGGUUCUGGACCACAACAACAGAUCAGGGGGAGGAAGAAAAAGUUGGAAAUUCUAUAGUGCCAUGGAUGAAGUGUUAGGCCUCCGUGCAUCGUCGAGGCCUCCAGUGCUUUUGGAGACCUCUACUCUGAACUCCGCAGCAACAAGUAGGUUCCCGAAAAUCAUAAUUUUUUUAUUCUGAUGAUCUACUAAUCUACUAAGAAAUGUCUGUUGUAGGCCUAUAUUUAUAUAAGACGUGGCAAAUAAAUACUAGCUGGCUUAUCAUGAGUAGGCUAACCAAAAACUUAGUUCUCCAAAUCCACACUAGUGAUAUUUGAAAACUAAAAAGAGGUCAAUACUCUGUACCUGUACUUUUUCAUUCAAGUACAGGAUGAUAAUGCAACGUCCGACAAUGAGGAGCAGUAUGAGAACCUGUACAGCACACAGGAUGAGAUGGAUGAUGAACAAUCUUUGAAUGGGUCGAUAGCUAGUUUUAUUUCUGAGGAGCCAGGAGGAAGUCGCAUUGCUGAAGUUCCUGUUGCUGAGGCUCCUGAAGUAAAUGUUAGACCCAAGAAGAAGAACAAAAUAGUAAAAGCCCUAGAUUCUACCCAAUGCCUUAGAGGCAUUCAUGAAAGCUCAAAGACAUUCUGAUGACCGCUGGAUGGUAGCAUAUAAAGAACAGCAGGAGUCAGUCCAACGCCACCAACUACAUCAGCUAAACAUGAUACAAGAAAUAGAAAGAAACCAACUUCAGGCUGAAGAGAGAAUGAGAAAAUAAGAACAGGAACAUGAGAUGAGACUGAUGCAGAUGAUGGUCCAACUGAUGUCACAGCAACCAGCACAACUACAGCCCCUUAACCCUGCAUCCCCUUUAACUUCUUUCCCCAACUUUUCUAAUUAUGGACCAUAUCAGUAAUUGUAAAAGACGUAACUCAAGUUUUAGAAAUUAUUUACAAUACAUAAAAUGUUUCAUACAAAAAUUGUUUCUGUUUUCUUUACUGACUUUUUAAAAUAUACCACACCGGUAUUGCAAAAAUAUAUGAGAAACUCAACUAUAAAAAACUAUUUACAAUACAUAAAAUAUUUC